UGCUCUGUCUGGCAACAGCCUACCAAGUCUCAUCCACCAGUUUUUCCUGAGGACAAGGAGCCUCUUAAAUCUGAACUAUGGUGAAGUGUUUUAGUUUGAGAUCCCGGGAAAUAGACUCUGAGACAAAGAACUUUGGGACUUCACAUCAUUGGAAGGUGAAUAGAAAAGUAUGUCUUAAGAAUUUCACCAUGUUUUGGAAGAAUUGCAGCAAGAAAAAAAGAACUCCUUUGUUUCCACCCCAUUUCUUUUAAGGAAAACCUGGAAUAUCUGAGGGUGCAAGCUGAGAAAAGUCUGCUUAUCUGUUCCCUACUCUGGCAAUCAAAAAGGAUCCAAGUCUACUGUUCUCUUCUCCUGGCACUCUUAACUUGCACACAUUGCAACCUUUUAUGGCAAAGUAAUGGUCAAGCUAUCCUAACAAGGACGAGCCCUUAUUAAAUAAUUCACUGUGGUUGGGAAAUGGUGAGGAAGCCAUCUUCUUUUGUCUUCUUUUCUCUGAAAAUAAAAUUUUGUCUAAUUUUGUAUUAAGGACAUUUGGGCUUCACUUUAUUACAUUCUCUACUUUCUUUAAUAGCUCGAAGCUCAUGACAGUACAUGUCUGGUCUUGCAAAACAAGAUGAAUUUGUUAAAUUAAACUUUUAAAAAAAAUCAGUGUAACUGGCCAUCUUUCAUUAUAAAAUAUUUUUUCUCUCAAUUCAAGCCAAUUGUGUGGGGUAUGUGUGUUGUGUGUGUGUGUGUGUGUGUGUGUGUGUCUGCCUUUAUGUGCUGCCUGAAAGCCAUAUGUCCUUCCUCAGGAUAGAAUUUUUAAUUCUAGGUAAUAAAUCUCAAACUUUUGAGAACUAAACUGGAAAUGCCACCUCUGACUUAUCAAUUGUUUCUGGCCUGUGCUUCUACAAAACACACAGCACAUAUUUUCUAACCAUAAUUGAAACCAUUUUAAAAUAGUGUUUUUGGAGGAGUGAAUCUAUGUGAAACUUCUGUAAGCUAUUUGUAGGACAGCCGUGAAAAUCCUCCAUGUUCUAUGCAUUGGAUUUUUUUUCCUCCUUACUCACAAGGAUCAUCUUCAGGUUAAUAUCACAGAAAUUGGGACAACUUAGUGUUCGAGAAAUAGAGAAAUAGCUCAAGGAGCUAUUAGAUACCAACCCAUACCAUGUUGUUUUCUGAGGGUGGGAGAAACUAGAAGAAAGUUUGACAUUACUCUCAUUCCAUGAGACAACCUCAAGAACACAAACCCAAACUAUCCAGGUAGGACUUUUAGUUUAGGGAGACCACCAAAAGAACUGGAGCCCAUUUCCUCUGGUGAUUCAACAAGAUUAACAGCCCCUCCUGAAGUUUUUGUCCAGUGGCCUAGAAUCUAAAUAUGUGCUCAUACCCAGUUCUUUGUCUUCAAUUCCCGAGUCUUCUGUGUGACUCAUUCUGAAAGUCCAGGUGUGGAAGGGAGAGGCGCAUGGAGGAAAAAGCCAGGCUCAGAAUUUAUAUUUGUUUAAUGCCACAUGUUCCCAAACUAUUUCUGGGCUGUUUCAAAAACUGGUCUGCACAGAUAUUAAUCUCUGUAACCAUAUGUCUGAAACAUUUCAUCACUGGGAAACAGCUGAAAGUAGUUGGUGAGGCUCUGUGGGAUCCAUGUUAGGUAUUGUAAGUAUGGUCAGAAGAAGAGCCUGUAUCUGGAGCUUAUGGGAAAAUAAUGAGAAAUGCCUGUACCUCCUCUUUCUUAUUUUUGAGGUUGGCUGCAUGACUACAGUUGUUAGGCCCAGGUAAGUUUAUUCCCAAAGAGUAAGGGUUGGGAUGGAUGGUAUGUGUGG
This 1799-nucleotide long non-coding RNA is filed under the name Homo sapiens (human). Its description in RNAcentral is "HSALNT0265409". Lineage: Eukaryota; Metazoa; Chordata; Mammalia; Primates; Hominidae. The record is from RNAcentral.